RNAcentral lists this long non-coding RNA (1276 nucleotides) under Mytilus galloprovincialis (Mediterranean mussel). Lineage: Eukaryota; Metazoa; Mollusca; Bivalvia; Mytilida; Mytilidae. The record is from RNAcentral.
UCGAAUUAAAAAACAUCAAAUUCAGUCUUUCAAUGCCGUCGUUUUUCAACGUUUCAUUUUUCCUUGUAGAAAACGUCGUAAUUUGACGUUACGUUUAGUGACCCCAGUAUCGUGCGUAACGUCUGUUAUAUUGGAAGAAGAAUCAGAAAAUAUAUUUUUAUUAUCAUGUUACUGUAUGGAAAAGGGGCAACAUUCCUAACAUUAUAUCAGGAGAAUAAAUCAUUCUUCAAUUUACUAUAGUAGUCUAGUUACAAUCGUUUAAAAAAUAUUGAUUUAUUAAAUAUUCAAGAUGUUGCGCAGCAAAUCAUUUUAUUGUCAAGUUUUAUACCGGAAAUCAAUUCAUUUCUAUUAGCUACACAUGUUGUACAAAUUAAUUUACUAACAGGGAUAUGUCGUAAACAAAUAUUUAGAUAAGUGUUGAAAGUGCAUGAAUAAUCCGAUGACACGUAUAUACGUAUAUUGUGACAUUACAACAACGCAUAUCGCAUUAUACUAUAUUAUCUCAACUCUUCGGCUUUGAAUGUCUUGAUCUCUAAGUUCAUGUUUACAAAAUUGUAUAUAGAACUAGCUUGAUAAAAAAACUGAAACUUAAAAAAUCCUUAUACGUUUUCUAUAGGUUCAAUAGAAAAUGCACCGAAUCUUGAUUUGCUAUAUUUUUGCGACUAGAUCUUGUAGUACUAUUUAGCAUACUAGCUAGUUGCAUUAGCUGCAAGUUUCAUAUCCACCAACUUGUUUUAAUUUUGAAAAUACUCUUCCGAAUUUCAAAAGGUUUAAUCAUUUUAGAAUCCUCAUGUUAAUAAUUGGUUUUUAUGCCCUAUUUAUGGGCAUUAUGUUUUCUGGUCUGUGCGUCCGUCUGUUCGUUCGUUGUACCGUGCGUGCGUCCGUCCGUCUGUCCCGCUUCAGGUUAAAGUUUUUGGUCGAGGUAGUUUUUUAUGAAGUUAAAGUCCAAUCAAAAUGAAACUUAGUACACAUGUUACUUUUGAUAUAAUAUUUCUAAAUGUAAUGCCAAAUUAGAGAUUUCCCCCCAUGUUCACGGUCCACUGAACAUAAAAAAAUAUAGUGUGGAUUGGGCAUCCGUGUACUUUGAACACGUUUUAAUUUCAUUUUACUUUAGGAAUUACUACACAACGUAAAGGAGAAUAAAGUUCAAACAUGCUAAGUAUUGUAUUUUGUUUAACUGAUUUCAGUUAAGAUAGAUUGUAGUUUUGGCAUAUUUAGACCAGAAAAUAUUGUUUUUCUCAUUUCUUACUUAUAUGAUAUUACUUAACAAUGUUAC